Molecule: ribosomal RNA, 1444 nt
Filed under: uncultured organism
Description: SSU rRNA
Rfam family: Bacterial small subunit ribosomal RNA
Source: RNAcentral
AGGAUGAACGCUAGCUACAGGCUUAACACAUGCAAGUCGAGGGGCAGCAUGGUCUUAGCUUGCUAAGGCCGAUGGCGACCGGCGCACGGGUGAGUAACACGUAUCCAACCUGCCGUCUACUCUUGGACAGCCUUCUGAAAGGAAGAUUAAUACAAGAUGGCAUCAUGAGUCCGCAUGUUCACAUGAUUAAAGGUAUUCCGGUAGACGAUGGGGAUGCGUUCCAUUAGAUAGUAGGCGGGGUAACGGCCCACCUAGUCUUCGAUGGAUAGGGGUUCUGAGAGGAAGGUCCCCCACAUUGGAACUGAGACACGGUCCAAACUCCUACGGGAGGCAGCAGUGAGGAAUAUUGGUCAAUGGGCGAGAGCCUGAACCAGCCAAGUAGCGUGAAGGAUGACUGCCCUAUGGGUUGUAAACUUCUUUUAUAAAGGAAUAAAGUCGGGUAUGGAUACCCGGUUGCAUGUACUUUAUGAAUAAGGAUCGGCUAACUCCGUGCCAGCAGCCGCGGUAAUAACGGAGGAUCCGAGCGUUAUCCGGAUUUAUUGGGGUUAAAGGGGAGCGUAGAUGGAUGUUUAAGUCAGUUGUGAGAGUUGGCGGCUCAACCGUAAAAUUGCAGUUGAUACUGGAUAUCUUGAGUGCAGUUGAGGCAGGCGGAAUUCGUGGUGUAGCGGUGAAAUGCUUAGAUAUCACGAAGAACUCCGAUUGUGAAGGCAGCCUGCUAAGCUGCAACUGACAUUGAGGCUCGAAAGUGUGGGUAUCAAACAGGAUUAGAUACCCUGGUAGUCCACACGGUAAACGAUGAAUACUCGCUGUUUGCGAUAUACUGCAAGCGGCCAAGCGAAAGCGUUAAGUAUUCCACCUGGGGAGUACGCCGGCAACGGUGAAACUCAAAGGAAUUGACGGGGGCCCGCACAAGCGGAGGAACAUGUGGUUUAAUUCGAUGAUACGCGAGGAACCUUACCCGGGCUUAAAUUGCAGAUGAAUUACGGUGAAAGCCGUAAGCCGCAAGGCAUCUGUGAAGGUGCUGCAUGGUUGUCGUCAGCUCGUGCCGUGAGGUGUCGGCUUAAGUGCCAUAACGAGCGCAACCCUUGUUGUCAGUUACUAACAGGUUCCGCUGAGGACUCUGACAAGACUGCCAUCGUAAGAUGUGAGGAAGGUGGGGAUGACGUCAAAUCAGCACGGCCCUUACGUCCGGGGCUACACACGUGUUACAAUGGGGGGUACAGAGGGUCGCUACCACGCGAGUGGAUGCCAAUCCCCAAAACCUCUCUCAGUUCGGACUGGAGUCUGCAACCCGACUCCACGAAGCUGGAUUCGCUAGUAAUCGCGCAUCAGCCACGGCGCGGUGAAUACGUUCCCGGGCCUUGUACACACCGCCCGUCAAGCCAUGGGAGCCGGGGGUACCUGAAGUGCGUAACCGCGAGGAGCGCCCUAGGGUAAAACUGGU